UUAACUAUUAUAUAGUACUCAGACGACAUUUUUAAACAGAGUUUAGGGGUCCUUUGGCACUCACUCAUUAGCAUAAGCCAAUGGCCGAAGCGGAAUGCCAAAGCAACAAAGUAUAUUUAACAUAGGGUUGGAGAGUCACCCUCGCGGGCGAUGUUCUCUGUAAUGAUCCCUCCGCAGGUUCACCUACGGAGA
Molecule: unclassified non-coding RNA, 192 nt
Filed under: uncultured fungus
Lineage: Eukaryota; Fungi
Description: sequence contains ITS1
Source: RNAcentral